This 795-nucleotide ribosomal RNA is filed under the name Thyronectria pinicola. Its description in RNAcentral is "eukaryotic LSU rRNA". It matches the Rfam family "Eukaryotic large subunit ribosomal RNA", at positions 99 to 927 of the family's 3401-position model. Lineage: Eukaryota; Fungi; Ascomycota; Sordariomycetes; Hypocreales; Nectriaceae. The record is from RNAcentral.
CGGCAACAGCUCAAAUUUGAAAUCUGGCCCUUGUGGUCCGAGUUGUAAUUUGUAGAGGAUGCUUUUGGUGCGGUGCCUUCCGAGUUCCCUGGAACGGGACGCCAUAGAGGGUGAGAGCCCCGUCUGGUUGGACACCAAGCCUCUGUAAAGCUCCUUCGACGAGUCGAGUAGUUUGGGAAUGCUGCUCUAAAUGGGAGGUAUAUGUCUUCUAAAGCUAAAUACCGGCCAGAGACCGAUAGCGCACAAGUAGAGUGAUCGAAAGAUGAAAAGCACUUUGAAAAGAGGGUUAAAUAGUACGUGAAAUUGUUGAAAGGGAAGCGUUUGUGACCAGACUUGGGCUUGGUUAAUCAUCCAGCGUUCUCGCUGGUGCACUUUGCCAGCCCAGGCCAGCAUCAGUUCGCUGCGGGGGAUAAAAGAUCCGGGAAUGUGGCUCUUCGGAGUGUUAUAGCCCGUUUCUUAAUACCCUGUGGUGGACUGAGGUUCGCGCAUCUGCAAGGAUGCUGGCGUAAUGGUCAUCAACGACCCGUCUUGAAACACGGACCAAGGAGUCGUCUUCGUAUGCGAGUGUUCGGGUGUCAAACCCCUACGCGUAAUGAAAGUGAACGGAGGUGGGAGCCUCGGCGCACCAUCGACCGAUCCUGAUGUUUUCGGAUGGAUUUGAGUAAGAGCAUACGGGGCCGGACCCGAAAGAAGGUGAACUAUGCCUGUAUAGGGUGAAGCCAGAGGAAACUCUGGUGGAGGCUCGCAGCGGUUCUGACGUGCAAAUCGAUCGUCAAAUAUGGGCAUGGGGGCGAA